AUUGAACGCUGGCGGCAUGCCUUACACAUGCAAGUCGAACGGCAGCACGGGUGCUUGCACCUGGUGGCGAGUGGCGAACGGGUGAGUAAUAUAUCGGAACGUACCUUAUUGUGGGGGAUAACGCAGCGAAAGUUGCGCUAAUACCGCAUACGCCCUGAGGGGGAAAGCGGGGGACCGUAAGGCCUCGCGCGAUUAGAGCGGCCGAUGUCUGAUUAGCUUGUUGGUGAGGUAAAAGCUCACCAAGGCGAUGAUCAGUAGCUGGCCUGAGAGGACGAUCAGCCACACUGGGACUGAGACACGGCCCAGACUCCUACGGGAGGCAGCAGUGGGGAAUUUUGGACAAUGGGGGCAACCCUGAUCCAGCAAUGCCGCGUGAGUGAAGAAGGCCUUCGGGUUGUAAAGCUCUUUUGUCAGGGAAGAAACAGCAGCUCUAACACAGUCUGCGAAUGACGGUACCUGAAGAAUAAGCACCGGCUAACUACGUGCCAGCCGCCGCAGUAA
This 501-nucleotide ribosomal RNA is filed under the name uncultured bacterium. RNAcentral describes it as "partial 16S ribosomal RNA". It matches the Rfam family "Bacterial small subunit ribosomal RNA", at positions 30 to 523 of the family's 1533-position model. The record is from RNAcentral.